AAUUCCUCUAUGAAUAAAACCCUAGGGGCUGCCAUGCCUUAUUGCCCUGCGAAGGACUACAGAACUCGAAUUUAUUUCAGAAAUGCAACCAGAGCAAAUAGAAAAACACCAAUUGUAAAUUUUUGCUCGCAUGAUAUAUUUAUUCAUUCAUCUGCCCUUUGAAGGGAAGGACAAUCGGACUCUUGUAAUGUGAACACCAUUUAACCAUGGCGUAAGCGCUAUAAACAAUGUAACAGAGGCAUGGUAUAACUGCAAGAUGCAGAGGUGAAAACUAUUGGAUUUCUCAAAUCAUGGAAGGACCAGUAUACAAUGAUCAAUCACCUACGCUAUAUUAACAGUAUAGACUAACUGCACUUGUUAAAGGCCACAAAGGGCCACUACUGCAGCUCAACUUAACAGCAACAAUUUUUCUUUCCAUUAUACACUCUUCAUUAGGAAGUCAUAAAUGGCUUGGCCUCCUUUUACCAGCAUCUGUCCUCAACCUUUUUACAGGAUUUGCCCAACCAACAUUGCCG
Molecule: unclassified non-coding RNA, 515 nt
Filed under: Hevea brasiliensis (rubber tree)
Lineage: Eukaryota; Viridiplantae; Streptophyta; Magnoliopsida; Malpighiales; Euphorbiaceae
Source: RNAcentral